CUCUCUCUCUCUCUCAUCUAUGUCUCUCUCUGUGUGUGUUCUUGGUGGAGGAGGAUGGAGAAGAAGCUUGACGGAGUUUGAAGGCGGAUGAGUCGUGAGUAUGCUGUCUGUGGAGAAAUUGUUAACAUUGCUCAGGUAAAAGCAAGCAACUUUGUCCUAAGUUGAUUGAAAUUGUUAACAUUGCUCAGGUCUUGGCCAGCAGCCGAUAACUUUUUUCAGAGAGAUUCUUACUUUGUGUUCCCACACGGCUUUGUUGGAGGAGAAUGCAACUUCUCAUAAGUUCAGAGAAAGAUGGAAUCCUCUGUCUUAUUCCUCAUACCCAUUGUACUCAGUUUCCAUUGCCCUUCAUGGCGGAAGUCUGGUUACAAGAGACAUGAAGUGUUUGGUUUCAGACAGCAUAUUUUGUAGGGGUUCAAAUGGAAGCAAGUUGCAAAGAUAGUGAAAGUAAAGAGUAGAGACCGGAGACAAGGCAACUGAGUGUGGUGGGUGCUGUUAGAGUUGCGGUCAGAAGCUCUUUCAUGGUGACUUGCUGAUAAUACUAUAUGAAGUGAAAUCAACUGUAUAAACCAUUGUACAUGAGUAUAAGGUCUUUUGUUGAGCUGAUCAUUAAAACGUUGUAUGUGGGACGUAGAUACAACAUGAGAAGAAGUGAAAUCAAAUGAGAUCUUUUUAGUUUUCGUUACCAAA
Long non-coding RNA from Brassica napus (rape), 687 nucleotides. RefSeq lists it as uncharacterized. The transcript is spliced from 3 exons. NCBI's taxonomy places the organism in Eukaryota, Viridiplantae, Streptophyta, Magnoliopsida, Brassicales, Brassicaceae. The record is from RefSeq and is a predicted model, not a curated record.